This 468-nucleotide ribosomal RNA is filed under the name uncultured bacterium. Its description in RNAcentral is "partial 16S ribosomal RNA". It matches the Rfam family "Bacterial small subunit ribosomal RNA", at positions 28 to 507 of the family's 1533-position model. The record is from RNAcentral.
GACGAACGCUGGCGGCGUGCUUAACACAUGCCAGUCGAACGGAAAGGCCCUGCUUUUGUGGGGUGCUCGAGUGGCGAACGGGUGAGUAACACGUGAGUAACCUGCCCUUGACUUUGGGAUAACUUCAGGAAGCUGGGGCUAAUACCGGAUAGGAGCUCCUGCUGCAUGGUGGGGGUUGGAAAGUUUCGGCGGUUGGGGAUAGACUCGCGGCUUAUCAGCUUGUUGGUGGGGUAGUGGCUUACCAAGGCUUUGACGGGUAGCCGGCCUGAGAGGGUGACCGGCCACAUUGGGACUGAGAUACGGCCCAGACUCCUACGGGAGGCAGCAGUGGGGAAUAUUGCACAAUGGGCGGAAGCCUGAUGCAGCAACGCCGCGUGCGGGAUGACGGCCUUCGGGUUGUAAACCGCUUUCGCCUGUGACGAAGCGUGAGUGACGGUAAUGGGUAAAGAAGCACCGGCUAACUACGUG